AAAUAAGAAGCAAUUAAUUGCAAUCAGUUUCGACCUGAUAAUAAGAUAAUAAUAUUAUCCUUAUUUU
Molecule: transfer RNA, 67 nt
Filed under: Eurycotis sp. B074
Lineage: Eukaryota; Metazoa; Arthropoda; Insecta; Blattodea; Blattidae
Description: tRNA-Arg
Source: RNAcentral